CGACCGGCGAGGGGGGCACUGAGACAAAAGAAGGGGCCCCAGCGUGGGGCUGGGCCCGAGAGAAGAGCGGGGCGCCCCCGGGGGAGGCAAGGCGGGCGCCAAGGCCUAGAGUCAGGGGGUCGUGGCCGGGCGGAGAGGGCCAGAGGAACUGUAGAGGGGCUGUGGGACAGUGGGGGACACAGGCUCCCCAGCCUACGCUGCCAGGACUGCGGUGGGGCUGGAGAAAGAAGCUGAGGCGCUGAAGCUGGGGGAGGUGGAGUGGGACUUGGAGGCUCGAGGAGGGAACACACCGGAGCGCAGGGUAUGUGGGGGACUUGAAGAAGGUAAGGACUUUGCGGGGUCCGGAAAGGAGAUGAUGGUGUCUGGUGCGAGAAAGGAAAUGAAGAUGGCUCCAGGGGAAAGCAUGGCAAGGGGUGAUCCAGACUUGGAGGAGACACGAAGGCCCCUAACACCCGGACUAGCUUUGGCAGAAUGUAAAGGAGAGCAAGAACCAGAAACAAACAAACAAAAA
This is a long non-coding RNA of Cavia porcellus (domestic guinea pig), 511 nucleotides long. RefSeq lists it as uncharacterized. Lineage: Eukaryota; Metazoa; Chordata; Mammalia; Rodentia; Caviidae. The record is from RefSeq and is a predicted model, not a curated record. The transcript has 2 exons.